UGGUAAGGUAAUGGCUUACCAAGGCGACGAUGGGUAGCCGGCCUGAGAGGGUGUACGGCCACACUGGGACUGAGACACGGCCCAGACUCCUACGGGAGGCAGCAGUAGGGAAUAUUGCGCAAUGGAGGGAACUCUGACGCAGCGACGCCGCGUGAGCGAUGAAGGUCUUCGGAUCGUAAAGCUCUGUCCUUGGGGAAGAAGGGUGCAUUAUAGCAUCUUGACGGUACCCGAGGAGGAAGCCCCGGCUAACUACGUGCCAGCAGCCGCGGUAAUACGUAGGGGGCAAGCGUUGUCCGGAAUUAUUGGGCGUAAAGGGUGCGUAGGCGGCCUUUUAAGUCAGGUGUGAAAGCCCACGGCUUAACCGUGGGAUUGCAUUUGAAACUGGAAGGCUUGAGUAUCGGAGAGGGUAGUGGAAUUCCCAGUGUAGCGGUGAAAUGCGUAGAUAUUGGGAGGAACACCAGUGGCGAAGGCGACUACCUGGACGAAAACUGACGCUGAUGCACGAAAGCUAGGGGAGCAAACAGGAUUAGAUACCCUGGUAGUCCUAGCUGUAAACGAUGGGUACUAGGUGUAGGAGGUUUCGAUACCUUCUGUGCCGGAGUUAA
Molecule: ribosomal RNA, 605 nt
Filed under: uncultured bacterium
Lineage: Bacteria
Description: bacterial SSU rRNA
Rfam family: Bacterial small subunit ribosomal RNA
Source: RNAcentral